This 505-nucleotide ribosomal RNA is filed under the name uncultured bacterium. RNAcentral describes it as "partial 16S ribosomal RNA". It matches the Rfam family "Bacterial small subunit ribosomal RNA", at positions 28 to 507 of the family's 1533-position model. The record is from RNAcentral.
GACGAACGCUGGCGGCGUGCCUAAUACAUGCAAGUAGAACGCACAGUUUAUACCGUAGCUUGCUACACCAUAGACUGUGAGUUGCGAACGGGCGAGUAACGCGUAGGUAACCUGCCUGGUAGCGGGGGAUAACUAUUGUAAACGAUAGCUAAUACCGCAUAAUAUUAAUUAUUGCAUGAUAAUUGAUUGAAAGAUGCAACUGCAUCACUACCAGAUGGACCUGCGUUGUAUUAGCUAGUAGGUGAGGUAACGGCUCACCUAGGCGACGAUACAUAGCCGACCUGAGAGGGUGAUCGGCCACACUGGGACUGAGACACGGCCCAGACUCCUACGGGAGGCAGCAGUAGGGAAUCUUCGGCAAUGGACGAAAGUCUGACCGAGCAACGCCGCGUGAGUGAAGAAGGUUUUCGGAUCGUAAAGCUCUGUUGUAAGAGAAGAACGGGUGUGAGAGUGGAAAGUUCACACUGUGACGGUAUCUUACCAGAAAGGGACGGCUAACUACGUG